GUCACCGUGGUGGAAUUUUGGCAGACACGUAGCUCUGAGGCGGCUAUCCGUUUAAUUAUGGGUCCCGGUUCAAGCCCGGGCGGUGACA
This 88-nucleotide transfer RNA is filed under the name Caudoviricetes sp. RNAcentral describes it as "tRNA-Leu". The record is from RNAcentral. Lineage: Duplodnaviria; Heunggongvirae; Uroviricota; Caudoviricetes.